RNAcentral lists this ribosomal RNA (465 nucleotides) under uncultured bacterium. Its description in RNAcentral is "bacterial SSU rRNA". It matches the Rfam family "Bacterial small subunit ribosomal RNA", at positions 338 to 795 of the family's 1533-position model. The record is from RNAcentral.
CCUACGGGGUGCAGCAGUGGGGAAUAUUGCACAAUGGGCGCAAGCCUGAUGCAGCCAUGCCGCGUGUAUGAAGAAGGCCUUCGGGUUGUAAAGUACUUUCAGCGGGGAGGAAGGUGUUGAGGUUAAUAACCUCAGCAAUUGACGUUACCCGCAGAAGAAGCACCGGCUAACUCCGCGCCAGCAGCCGCGGUAAUACGGAGGGUGCAAGCGUUAAUCGGAAUUACUGGGCGUAAAGCGCACGCAGGCGGUCUGUCAAGUCGGAUGUGAAAUCCCCGGGCUCAACCUGGGAACUGCAUUCGAAACUGGCAGGCUAGAGUCUUGUAGAGGGGGGUAGAAUUCCAGGUGUAGCGGUGUAAUGCGUAGAGAUCUGGAGGAAUACCGGUGGCGAAGGCGGCCCCCUGGACAAAGACUGACGCUCAGGUGCGAAAGCGUGGGGAGCAGACAGGAUUAGAUACCCUCGUAGUC